Molecule: ribosomal RNA, 301 nt
Filed under: uncultured bacterium
Lineage: Bacteria
Description: partial 16S ribosomal RNA
Rfam family: Bacterial small subunit ribosomal RNA
Source: RNAcentral
CAGUCGCCGCGGGAAUACGUAGGGUGCAAGCGUUAAUCGGAAUUACUGGGCGUAAAGCGUGCGCAGGCGGUUUGUUAAGACAGAUGUGAAAUCCCCGGGCUCAACCUGGGAACUGCAUUUGAAACUGUCAGGCUGGAGUCUUGUAGAGGGGGGUAGAAUUCCAGGUGUAGCGGUGAAAUGCGUAGAGAUCUGGAGGAAUACCGGUGGCGAAGGCGGCCCCCUGGACAAAGACUGACGCUCAGGUGCGAAAGCGUGGGGAGCAAACAGGAUUAGAUACCCGAGUAGUCCCUGUCUCUUAUAA